GUGCAGUUUGGAGGAGUUGAAGUAGAGAAGUGCUGUGGCUGGCUAGAAGACCAAGACCCUAGAGAGAAAAAUGUAUCCCUUACCUCAAGGAGGAGGAGCCUGCGUACUGGAUAACAAAAGGUGGAUGUUCGGAUCCUACCGAUGACUGUACGUUCUGAAAAAAUAGAGGCUUGAAACACACACGAUUCUUACUGCACUCUUCUGAGACCCUUCUUGCCAAGGCCGAGGCAACGACGAGAGCAGAGAAUCGUAGGCCGAGAUUUUUCAAAUGUGCCAAUGACAACCAAGAAACCGAAAUAUAUAGAUCCAUCUAUUUUACACCUUCUUCACAUAUAAGCUCUCUCUUGGUGGAAGUCCUGCUUGAGCAGAUGCAGGAAAUGGAAGGCGAUAAUAGAUCUGUAGCUUAACCAAGCCCACAUGAUUGACUGAGGUACACGCUGUGCUGAAGGGAGAUGUAGGGGACGAAAACCCCCAAAGCAUUUUUUUUUUGUCAAGUUCACAUCAAUUGCGUACAUUUCCAGCUGGAUGAACUUAAAUUAGGAGGGUGACUAUAACCGGCUGACAAGUGAAAGUGAAGCAACCGUUGCCAGUCUUUACUGAUGUAUCACGCAUGCGGUGUUUAUAGGACAGAGACAUCUAAAGUGGUGCGCGAUAUGAAAAAGAAAGGAGGAGGGGGAAGAAACUCGACUGUAGUCAGAAAAGUUGCAAAGGAUGUUAAUUGGAUACCUUCUGUA
Chelonia mydas (Green sea turtle) is the source of this 734-nucleotide long non-coding RNA. RefSeq lists it as uncharacterized. The record is from RefSeq and is a predicted model, not a curated record. The transcript is spliced from 4 exons. NCBI's taxonomy places the organism in Eukaryota, Metazoa, Chordata, Testudines, Cheloniidae.